Glycine soja is the source of this 754-nucleotide long non-coding RNA. RefSeq lists it as uncharacterized. The transcript is spliced from 2 exons. The record is from RefSeq and is a predicted model, not a curated record. Lineage: Eukaryota; Viridiplantae; Streptophyta; Magnoliopsida; Fabales; Fabaceae.
AUUUAAUUUUAAAAAUCAUCAAAACUGUAUAAUUUUAAAGGGGCAGCAUAAGAGAAGACAGAUAAAUCUUGAUAUCGUGCAUUUUAUAUCCGGUUUCAGAUCUCGAGCUUGAUCUCAUUCUCAAUCUGAUUUGACGCUUGAGAGGAUGACAAAUGGUCUUCUCCUUGAUCAUGAGGCCGCUCUAUGGCAUUGCUCACCGUGUGUGUGUGGUGAAUGCCUUGAUCUUGUUUUAAGAUUCAAAACCCAUUGCGACGCUCAUCAUGCCCAAAUUUGGUUUUAAAAUUCGUAGCCCUGGGUGGUGCUCACCAUGCUAGAUCUGUUUUUAAUUCGAAACGCCAGAACUAUCUCGAUCUCGAUCUCAAUCUGAUUCGAUGCUUGAGAGGAUGACAAAUGGUGUUCUCCUUGAUCAUGAGGCCGCUCUAUGGCAUUGCUCACCGUGUGCGUGUGGCGAAUGCCUUGAUAUGGUUUUAAGAUUCAAAACCCAUAGCGGCGCUCAUCAUGCCCAAAUUUGAUUUUAAGAUUCAUAGCCCUCUCGGUGGUGCUCACCAUGCUAGAUCAAUUUUUAAUUCGAAACGCCAGAACUGUAUGUUGUUUUGGUUUCUUUGUUUGCUUUUACUCUUUGGUUGAAUUUUUUUAUGUUUGUGUUUUGUUGAUAUGAAUUAAUGAUUGUCGGGUCACAAAUCUGGGUGAAUGAAGGCUUAAAUGUUUGUAUUGAAUGUUGGCUUUUAUAAUAAAUAUGUUAAAAAAAUAUCUA